Molecule: unclassified non-coding RNA, 200 nt
Filed under: soil metagenome
Description: partial contains internal transcribed spacer 2 and large subunit ribosomal RNA
Source: RNAcentral
CCGGGCUUGCAAUUGGGCUUUGUCUGCUUUAUGUAGAAGUCUAAAAGACAGUGGCGGUUAAGUUAGGCAUUCCAGCGUAGUGAUUAUAUUAGCUGUUGAAAUGUCUUUUACAUGACAGCCAGGGUUUCUGCUGGCGGAAACCCCUUGGUUUUUAAUCAAUUAUUGACCUCGGAUCAGGUGAGGAUACCCGCUGAAUUUAA